Long non-coding RNA from Columba livia (rock pigeon), 1037 nucleotides. RefSeq lists it as uncharacterized. The transcript is spliced from 3 exons. The record is from RefSeq and is a predicted model, not a curated record. Lineage: Eukaryota; Metazoa; Chordata; Aves; Columbiformes; Columbidae.
UCCAGACUGGAGCCAGCAACUGGGGAGACUGUCUGAGCCUAGCUGCUGGAGGGAUCCAAAUUGUGCAGGUGUAUAUAUAUAUUCCUACUAGUGCAUCUUCGUUCUGCUUCAUUCUGCUCGGCCAGAGAAGCUGGAGAAAAGGAGGCUGAGGGAAGACCUUAUCACUCUCUGCAACUACCUGAAAGGAGGUCGUAGCAUGGAGGGGGUUGGUCUCUUCUCCCAAGUGAUAGGACGAGAGGAAAUGGCCUCAAGUUGUGCCAGGGGAGGUUUAGAUUGGAUAUUAGGAAAAAAUUCUUCACACAAAGGGCUGUCAGGCAUUGGAACAGGCUGCUCAGGGAAGUGGUGGAGUCACCAUCCCUAGAGGUGUGUAAAAGAAGUGUAGAUGUUGUGCUUAGGGGCAUGGUUUAGAGGUGGACUUGGCAGUGUUAGGUUAAUGGUGGGACUAGGUGAUCUUAAAGGUCUUUUCCAACCGAAAUGAUUCUAUGAUUCUGUGAUUCCUUCCUCAUGUAUGUCUGUUGCUAGGUGACCAGGUAGCAAUGCAAAAGUCCCCUGCUCACCAGCUGGGGCUCAGGAGUGCAAAAUUCCCUGUGUAGCCAGCAUGAUUUCUUGAGCCUUUUUCAGCUCAGACCCUGCAAGCCUACUCUGCCUUUCACUCGCUCAGAUCACUGCAGCAAUGAAGCAUGAAGAAUGCUCCUCUACUGCCAUACAGUGUCUGCCAACAAAUGACCAAAAGGAAGAUUUUUCCCAGUUAAACUCCAGGCCAAAGGCAGAUGGCAGGAUUACCCACCCAUACACCAUGCUGGGAUCCACUGCAGUCAAUACUGGACUCUGCAGAGAGCAAUUAUGCUGCAUUUGAGGCACCGUGGAUUCCAGCAGACUGAACUAGUGACUGGACACCAAAGGCUUCUUGGUAGAUCUAAUAAGGCGAAUAAUUCAUGCACAGUUGAACAGCAGUUACUGCUCUGCUCAUCCCUUUCUACCAUUUACAUUUUUGCAGCUCGCUUGCUUUCUUAAAUAGGGGAUAAUAAAGAUUCACA